This 585-nucleotide ribosomal RNA is filed under the name uncultured bacterium. Its description in RNAcentral is "bacterial SSU rRNA". It matches the Rfam family "Bacterial small subunit ribosomal RNA", at positions 338 to 916 of the family's 1533-position model. The record is from RNAcentral.
CCUACGGGAGGCAGCAGUGGGGAAUUUUGGACAAUGGGCGCAAGCCUGAUCCAGCAAUGCCGCGUGAGUGAAGAAGGCCUUCGGGUUGUAAAGCUCUUUUGUCAGGGAAGAAACGGUGGGAGCUAAUAUCUCCCGCUAAUGACGGUACCUGAAGAAUAAGCACCGGCUAACUACGUGCCAGCAGCCGCGGUAAUACGUAGGGUGCAAGCGUUAAUCGGAAUUACUGGGCGUAAAGCGUGCGCAGGCGGUUUUGUAAGUCUGUCGUGAAAGCCCCGGGCUCAACCUGGGAAUUGCGAUGGAGACUGCAAGGCUUGAAUCUGGCAGAGGGGGGUAGAAUUCCACGUGUAGCAGUGAAAUGCGUAGAGAUGUGGAGGAACACCGAUGGCGAAGGCAGCCCCCUGGGUCAAGAUUGACGCUCAUGCACGAAAGCGUGGGGAGCAAACAGGAUUAGAUACCCUGGUAGUCCACGCCCUAAACGAUGUCUACUAGUUGUCGGGUUUUAAUUAACUUGGUAACGCAGCUAACGCGUGAAGUAGACCGCCUGGGGAGUACGGUCGCAAGAUUAAACUUCAAAGGAAUUGACGG